GGGUGAUGAGCUGGCUGACUCUGCUUU
RNAcentral lists this non-coding RNA (27 nucleotides) under Cricetulus griseus (Chinese hamster). Lineage: Eukaryota; Metazoa; Chordata; Mammalia; Rodentia; Cricetidae. The record is from RNAcentral.